This 281-nucleotide ribosomal RNA is filed under the name uncultured prokaryote. Its description in RNAcentral is "partial 16S ribosomal RNA". It matches the Rfam family "Bacterial small subunit ribosomal RNA", at positions 524 to 803 of the family's 1533-position model. The record is from RNAcentral.
UACGUAGGGGGCUAGCGUUAUCCGGAAUUACUGGGCGUAAAGGGUGCGUAGGUGGUUUCUUAAGUCAGAGGUGAAAGGCUACGGCUCAACCGUAGUAAGCCUUUGAAACUGGGAAACUUGAGUGCAGGAGAGGAGAGUGGAAUUCCUAGUGUAGCGGUGAAAUGCGUAGAUAUUAGGAGGAACACCAGUUGCGAAGGCGGCUCUCUGGACUGUAACUGACACUGAGGCACGAAAGCGUGGGGAGCAAACAGGAUUAGAUACCCCGGUAGUCCCUGAGCGGG